This 253-nucleotide ribosomal RNA is filed under the name uncultured bacterium. Its description in RNAcentral is "partial 16S ribosomal RNA". It matches the Rfam family "Bacterial small subunit ribosomal RNA", at positions 524 to 776 of the family's 1533-position model. The record is from RNAcentral.
UACGUAGGUGGCAAGCGUUGUCCGGAUUUACUGGGCGUAAAGGGCGUGCAGGCGGUUUGUUAAGUCCAGGGUGAAAGCUCCCGGCUCAACUGGGAGAGGUCCUUGGAUACUGGCAGACUUGAGGAGGGUAGAGGAGAGUGGAAUUCCCGGUGUAGUGGUGAUAUGCGUAGAUAUUGGGAGGAACACCGGUGGCGAAGGCGGCCCCCUGGACCGGUACUGACGCUGAGGCGCGAAAGCGUGGGUAGCAAACGGG